RNAcentral lists this long non-coding RNA (1646 nucleotides) under Nicotiana benthamiana. Its description in RNAcentral is "long non-coding RNA (NBEN_LNC020210)". Lineage: Eukaryota; Viridiplantae; Streptophyta; Magnoliopsida; Solanales; Solanaceae. The record is from RNAcentral.
UAGUCACAGAUAUUAUCCAUCUUCAAAAUCAGAAAUUGAGUACCUUUAAAGGAGACUAUGAUACGUUCGAAAGGACACGAGAUGAACAAAUUAAGAAUCAACAGAAGGCAUUCGAGGCGAAUGAACGUACAAGGGCCCACAUGCAGGUCUUUCUCAAUUAGAUUAAUUUUUAUUGAUAGACAAUUGCAAACAGAUUAAUUGCGACCUUAUUUGAAUAUUUCUUGUUUAGCUGUUUAAUACUUCGAUAAAUUUUUCGGCUUUAAUGUUUUGCAGACCUUUAUUGAUAAGUUCCGGUACAAUGCAAAGCGUGCAGCUCUUGUUCAAUCUAGAAUUAAGGUAUUCUUUUAUUUUACCAUAAGCUGCUCCUAUAUAUCUUGUCAGCUUUCAGUGGUUGUGGUUGUUUGCUCAAGUGAUUUAAUCAGUUGCCCGAUCUGAUUGUUUAAUAAUUUAAUUAGGUCUAGUUAUGAUGCCCUAGCAUGCCAUGAUCAGUAUCUGAAUGGUUUUGCUUGAAUUUAACAGGCAUUGGAGCGAAUUGGUCGUGUGGAUGAAGUCAUCAAUGAUCCCGAGUACGUAUUCAUUCCUUAACAGAUUGCUCCUAUAUUUUUUCUGUUACUUUAACUCUGAUGGUUUAACACGUUAUCACCUGAGCCUAUAAAAAUCCGAUCUCGGUCUUGUUACAUUUUUUAAUUAUAUGAACUCAUUUUGUUUUGCGUAUGCAGCUACAAGUUUGAGUUCCCUUCUCCUGAUGAUAGACCUGGUGCUCCUAUUAUAAACUUCAGGUUAAGCAUCUCUUAUUCCGUGUCUAAUAUAUUCUUUUGAAUCCCUUUGUCAGGUAGCAAAUCACCCUUAAUUAACUUCUUACUUUGUUGUAACAUAUGCAGUGAUGCAUCCUUUGGAUAUCCUGGGGGCCCAUUAUUGUUCAAAAAUUUGAAUUUUGGAAUAGAUCUGGAUAGCAGAGUAGCAAGUAAGACCUUGAUUACCUAACAAUCAACUAUUUUAAACUUUUGUUUUCUUAAUUGUUGCAAACCGCUGUACAUAGCCUCUGAUCAGUAAUAUGCCUCUCUAUAUUUGACGUUGAGUUUUUCUGUUGGGAAGUAAAAUUGGAUAUCUCUAUUUGUGAAUUAGGUAGUAUGUGUCUUAGGCAUGUGCAUCUUUAUAAUUGUUUCUUUUAAUCAUUUAUAUGUUCUACAGAGCCGUGGUUAGACCUGCGAUGUUGUAUGGGGCGGAGUGCUGGCCCGUGAAGAAUACCUGGUGAAGUGGCCGAAGACAUUUAUAGUUGUCUCUCAUGCUAGAGAGUUCUUGAAUACUGUACGGUUUUUCUUCUCUUACUUAAAACAAUAGUUGGGUUCAGUAUGUCUAGAGGUUGAUGUUUGUUCUGACAUCUCAUAAACCUAUCGUUGCUUCUUUCUUCAGGUAGUCACAGAUAUUAUCCAUCUUCAAAAUCAGAAAUUGAGUACCUAUAAAGGAGACUAUGAUACGUUCGAAAGGACACGAGAUGAACAAGUUAAGAAUCAACAGAAGGCAUUCGAGGCGAAUGAACGUACAAGGGCCCACAUGCAGGUCUUUCUCAAUUAGAUUAGUUUUUAUUGGUAGACUAUUGCAAACAGAUUAAUUGCGACCGUAUUUGCAUAUUUCUUAUUAAGCUG